RNAcentral lists this long non-coding RNA (2226 nucleotides) under Bemisia tabaci. RNAcentral's name for it is "lncRNA ENSSWEETPG005527". The record is from RNAcentral. Lineage: Eukaryota; Metazoa; Arthropoda; Insecta; Hemiptera; Aleyrodidae.
GUUCAACAUACUGUUGGUAUGUUUCUACAAGCGCCUUUUUCUCUUUGCGGUAGCGGUGAAUGAUCAAAUGAAACAAGUCCUUCUCUAGCAUUUACCAAAUUAGAUCAGCAAUGGAUUUUUCAAUUGAUUUUCAUGGCGAUAGUGAACUUGCGGCCAAACAGCUUGACCCAGUAAACGAGGAUUUAUUUAAUAAUGAUUCAAUAGUAGAGAAAGAACUCCAAGAAGCAAUAGAAUCCUUGGCAGAUGGCACUAAUGCUGUUGCAGAUCCUAUUGUCGAUGAUGUCAUUUCUUCGAUUCCCCUCCCUAAUGGAACUGACGGUCUUGAAGAUAUUCUUUCCGAUGAAGACUAUGGAGUUGAACUAGAAGAGACAGACAAAUUCGCCGGUGAAGCAGUAGCCUCUGAGGCAGCUGAAGCCCCUGAAGAAACUGGAACCCCUGAGGAAGCUGUUGUUGAGGGUUAUGAGGAGAAUGUCGCAGAAGAAGGUACUGCACAGAACGAUGAUAGAACUGAUGAAGCUCUAGAGCCUGAACAGGAGGUACACUCAGAGGAAAAGGCGGAAGAUGAAAAGGGCAAUCUUCCAGAAGAUUCUAUGCAAAAAGAGCCCAUAGCAGAGUCAGAGACUGAAGUGGCAAAUGAACCCUCACCUAAAAAUCUCCAAGAAGCAAAAAACCAAAGGCAGACAAGUCUGCAGAUGAAAGCAAUGAAGAAUCACCCCUGAAAGUUUCACCAAGAGCCCGAAGAAAGCCAGGUGAGUCUGACCGCGAACAAACGGAUGAUGAUUCUAAAUCUGAAUCAACCUCACCAAAGAGAGUCACCUCUAAAAGUAAGAAAAGAAAUGUUGAGCAGUCAGGAGAUGAAAGCAGCAUAGAAUCACCACAAAAAGUUUCGCCAAGAGCCCGCAAAAAACCAGUUAAGCUCGCCAACGUCAAUGAGUCUGGAGAAGAGAGCAGUGAGCAGUCACCGCAGAAAGUCUCUCAGCGGGUGCGAAAAAAACCUGAAAAGCUGGAGUAUGAGGAUAGCUUGAAGAAAAGCUCUAGAGAAUCAGUGAGUCCUGCAAAGAGGGGUAGACCGAAAAAGGAAAUACCCUCCGAGUCGGAUAAGGUUAGCUCUGACUCAGAUGUGCCACUGUCGAGAAAGAAGAAACGGGCGUUGUCUGGCAGUGACAGAGAAUCUGUGUCUAGUUCUAAAACAAGCUCUACGCUUAAAAGCAGAAAUGAAAAGAGGAAAAGGACCAGUGGCAGUGAAACGGAUGACACCACCCAUUCACCAGUUAAAAAGUCGAGCAGAUUGUCUAACGGUCGCACCCGGGAAAGUAGUAGUCCAAUACAAUUUUUGUCUCCAGAAGAAGCCCUUGAAGUCUCACCUGUCGUUCAACUCGGUCCAAAAGUUGAAGGCACAAGUGCUUUGUUCAAUGGAACUGCUAAAAGAAAUGGUUCAAUGUCUCCACCAAAGCCUAGCGCCACCAUUAAAGGGACCAAGUCCAAAAAGAGCAAGUCCACGCCAAAAGAGGUUGAAUUACCCUUAGACAAGAACGACAAGCUCAUUGAGAAACUGAAGGGCUACGUUUCGAUGUCUGGUCACAGAAUCCAGAACUACAAAACUUUCUGGGAAGACUGCCCCUCAAAACAGAUGAAAAUCAACAAACUGAAAAAAUUUCUGAUAGAGCAUGGAGUGAAAGUUGAAGCUCUUGACGAGGAAGACACAAGUGAUAUGGGGAAAAAAUCCCGUAGAGAAAAAAGUUCCCCUGAAGAAAAAAUAACUGAAGUGAAAAAGGUACCAAUUACAGAAGAGGACCAAGUAGGAUUCAUCAAAAUUGAAGUGCUGCGCGGUCAAACCCAAAGUGCUAUUCAUUCCACGCUGGCUAAAGUUUGUGGGGAAUUGGCCUUGCCAACAAGCCAAAUCUCUACAAUCAUUCGGAGUUUUAAAAAAGAAAUCCAGUGAUCGUCUGCUUCAUUCAUCAGGAAGAUGGAGUUAUAAAAAGGUGAAAAAAGCAAUAAAGAAAAAAAAAACUUGCUGAUGAAGUUGCAGAAUUAAACUGCGAUGUCAUCAUAUCAAAGGGUAAGCACAGUGUUUCAUUCAAUACUAUUUCCAUGAUAAUUAAGGCACGUGAUCAAAAUUAAAUGAACAACUUUUUAGAAGAUUUUAAAGUGACGAGUUAGUAUUUAAAAGAAGAUUUUAAAGUGACGAGUUAGUAUUUAAAAGUUGAAUUCGAAUUUCGUAAGGCU